GAUGAACGCUGGCGGCGUGCCUAAUACAUGCGAGUCGAGCGAACAGACGAGGAGCUUGCUCCUCUGACGUUAGCGGCGGACGGGUGAGUAACACGUGGAUAACCUACCUAUAAGACUGGGAUAACUUCGGGAAACCGGAGCUAAUACCGGAUAAUAUAUUGAACCGCAUGGUUCAAUAGUGAAAGACGGUUUUGCUGUCACUUAUAGAUGGAUCCGCGCCGCAUUAGCUAGUUGGUAAGGUAACGGCUUACCAAGGCGACGAUGCGUAGCCGACCUGAGAGGGGGGCGGGACACACGGGACGGGAGACAGGGUCCGGACUCCAGCGGGGGGCAGAAGAGGGGAAUCUUCGGAAGGGGGGAAAGGCCGGAGGAAACAGCCCGGGGUGAGGAAGGAAGUUUUUGGGAUCGAAAAACUUUGUUAUGGGGGAAAAAAAAAGGUGAAAGAAAAAAUGCCCGUCUGAAGGUAACAUAAUAAGAAAGCCACGGCAAACUACGUG
RNAcentral lists this ribosomal RNA (497 nucleotides) under uncultured bacterium. RNAcentral describes it as "partial 16S ribosomal RNA". It matches the Rfam family "Bacterial small subunit ribosomal RNA", at positions 28 to 507 of the family's 1533-position model. The record is from RNAcentral.